RNAcentral lists this ribosomal RNA (333 nucleotides) under uncultured prokaryote. Its description in RNAcentral is "bacterial SSU rRNA". It matches the Rfam family "Bacterial small subunit ribosomal RNA", at positions 8 to 352 of the family's 1533-position model. The record is from RNAcentral.
AGAGUUUGAUCCUGGCUCAGGAUUAACGCUGGCGGCGUGCCUGACACAUGCAAGUCGAACGAGGCCGCAAGGCCUAGUGGCGGACGGGUGAGUAACACGUGACCAACCAACCCCGAAGUUGGGAAUAGCUCUGCGAAAGUAGAGGUAAUACCGAAUGUGGUCCAGGGCGGACAUCCGCUCUGGUCUAAAGAUUUAUCGCUUCGGGACGGGGUCGCGGCCUAUUAGCUUGUUGGUGGGGUAACGGCCUACCAAGGCGAUGAUGGGUAGCUGGUCUGAGAGGACGACCAGCCACACUGGGACUGAGACACGGCCCAGACUCCUACGGGAGGCGAC